Molecule: ribosomal RNA, 465 nt
Filed under: uncultured bacterium
Lineage: Bacteria
Description: bacterial SSU rRNA
Rfam family: Bacterial small subunit ribosomal RNA
Source: RNAcentral
GGCGGCGUGCCUAACACAUGCAAGUCGAGCGAGGAGGAUCCUUCGGGAUGAUCCUAGCGGCGGACGGGUGAGGUAACACGUGGGCAACCUGCCUCAUAGAGAGGAAUAGCCUUCCGAAAGGGAGAUUAAUACCUCAUAACAUUGCAGUUUCGCAUGGAACAGCAAUUAAAGGAGUAAUCCGCUAUGAGAUGGGCCCGCGGCGCAUUAGCUAGUUGGUGAGGUAACGGCUCACCAAGGCGACGAUGCGUAGCCGACCUGAGAGGGUGAUCGGCCACAUUGGGACUGAGACACGGCCCAGACUCCUACGGGAGGCAGCAGUGGGGAAUAUUGCACAAUGGGGGAAACCCUGAUGCCAGCAACGCCGCGUGAGUGAUGACGGCCUUCGGGUUGUAAAGCUCUGUCUUCAGGGACGAUAAUGACGGUACCUGAGGAGGAAGCCACGGCUAACUACGUGCCAGCCGCGGC